UGCCUGGUAGCGGGGGAUAACUAUUGGAAACGAUAGCUAAUACCGCAUAAGAGUAGAUGUUGCAUGACAUUUGCUUAAAAGGUGCAAUUGCAUCACUACCAGAUGGACCUGCGUUGUAUUAGCUAGUUGGUGGGGUGACGGCUCACCAAGGCGACGAUACAUAGCCGACCUGAGAGGGUGAUCGGCCACACUGGGACUGAGACACGGCCCAGACUCCUACGGGAGGCAGCAGAC
Molecule: ribosomal RNA, 234 nt
Filed under: uncultured Streptococcus sp.
Lineage: Bacteria; Bacillati; Bacillota; Bacilli; Lactobacillales; Streptococcaceae
Description: partial 16S ribosomal RNA
Rfam family: Bacterial small subunit ribosomal RNA
Source: RNAcentral